Actinia tenebrosa (Australian red waratah sea anemone) is the source of this 570-nucleotide long non-coding RNA. The record is from RefSeq and is a predicted model, not a curated record. NCBI's taxonomy places the organism in Eukaryota, Metazoa, Cnidaria, Anthozoa, Actiniaria, Actiniidae.
CCUGUGCAGAUCGACUCCCAGAUUGUCCGAACUACAAACACUACUGUACACUCAGUUCCUCUACCAAAAUCUACUGCCCCCAUACCUGCAAUGCCUGUUCAACGGGAGGACAAGUCGCAACGUGCGUCGACAAGUUCUCAACGAAAUUAUGUUUGAGAUACAAAGCGGCGAAUUACUGUAACAACCCUUAUAUAAAGCCCAAAUGCCAAAAGACAUGUAAAUUCUGCUAAAUUGGAAAGUAAGUAUUAAGAAUAGUAAAUGAUGGUAUAAUUAGUGAAAUUAUGAUGCAUGUCAGUCUUGCAUGAGGUUGGUAUUGGAGGUAAAGAUGUAAUAGAGACUUUGCACCAUUAUGUGAUGGAAGCCAUGACAGGAGGCAGGAAUAAUGGAAUCUGGUCAAGUCUGAUAUGCAUGAGAAAGAAAUCAGUCUCCAAGUGGCAACAGACUCUAUUAUUGUGGCCCCUGUCAUGGCUGGCAUCACGUUAUGAUGCAAAGCCUCUAUAGACCAUAACAUAGAUAAUGAUGUCAGGUAUGAUGUUGAUGGCAUUUUUAAUGUAAUUCUGAUGAUGGAUG